Molecule: ribosomal RNA, 262 nt
Filed under: Clostridioides difficile
Lineage: Bacteria; Bacillati; Bacillota; Clostridia; Peptostreptococcales; Peptostreptococcaceae
Description: partial 23S ribosomal RNA
Rfam family: Bacterial large subunit ribosomal RNA
Source: RNAcentral
GGGAGUGAAAUAGAACCUGAAACCCUGCACUUACAAGCUGUGGAAGCACAUUUCUUGUGUGACCGCGUACUUUUUGUAGAACGGGCCAACGAGUUACGUUAAGUAGCAAGGUUAAGCACUUAAGGUGCGGAGCCAUAGCGAAAGCGAGUUUUAACUGAGCGUUCAGUUACUUGACGUAGACCCGAAACCGGGCGACCUACCCAUGAGCAGGAUGAAGCGAAAGUAAAAUUUCGUGGAGGUCCGAACCCACGAGCGUUGAAAA